Molecule: ribosomal RNA, 232 nt
Filed under: uncultured bacterium
Lineage: Bacteria
Description: partial 16S ribosomal RNA
Rfam family: Bacterial small subunit ribosomal RNA
Source: RNAcentral
UGAGUAACCUGCCCCAAACUCUGGGAUAAGCACUGGAAACGGUGUUUAAUACCGGAUACGAGCUUCAGCCGCAUGGCUAGGAGUUGGAAAGAAUUUCGGUUUGGGAUGGACUCGCGGCCUAUCAGCUAGUUGGUGAGGUAAUGGCCCACCAAGGCGACGACGGGUAGCCGGCCUGAGAGGGUGACCGGCCACACUGGGACUGAGACACGGCCCAGACUCCUACGGGAGGCAG